RNAcentral lists this long non-coding RNA (1013 nucleotides) under Monodelphis domestica (gray short-tailed opossum). Its description in RNAcentral is "lncRNA (ENSMODG00000042285.1)". The record is from RNAcentral. Lineage: Eukaryota; Metazoa; Chordata; Mammalia; Didelphimorphia; Didelphidae.
ACAGGACUGACAUUUCCCAAAAUCCUUCUAGCCCUCCUUAUAGACUAGGGACAACCCUAUCCCUCUCACCUCAUCUUACCUCAGUCCUCCAUCCCGUUGUUCCCAAUAAAUCCCCUUACUUGAGAAAGGAAGAGAAAAGAAUGUUUCCUCAUAAACCUCAGAGUCCACUCAGGGGAGAGAGGUGAAGCCAAAGACUUCAGAAGAAGGGUGGUGAAGGGUGAUAUUGAGGGAGGAGGAGGGUAGGAAAAAUAUUAUUCUAUUAGCCAUCAGUAGUGAUCAAUAGGCAACUCCAGAGUAUCCCCUCUAGUAGCAUCUCUCUAUCUCUCAGAAAUAUUUUUAUCUCCAUUACUCUCUAGUCACACCCAGAGUAUAUCUUUGAUUACAACCAGAAAUAUCUCCAUUGAUUAUCUAUUCUAUUACAAGUGACAAAGUCAGUUGAUGCUAUAGUAAUUUAGAAAAGAUUAAUGUAGACUAUAUAAAAAUAGAUUCCUGAUAAUAUAGAAUGUAUAAGCAUAUAAUAUUAGAGCUAGAAGGAAUGAUAUAGAUCAUUUAGUUUUAACUCCUCAUUUUAUAGAUGAGAAAAUGUAGCCCCAGAAAGGAAAAUAUGUUCCCUAAAUCACAGAGUAAAUUUCUGCCAUAUUCAGGCUUAGAACCUAGUUAAUGUCUCUUAGACUAGUAGUCUUGUGGUCUUUUCUUUAAAAGCAUCUGCUUGGAGGCAACUGGGUGGCUCAGUAGAUUGAUAGCUAGGCCUAGGGAUGGGAGAUCUUGGGUUCUAAUCUGACUUCAGACAUGGACCAGCUGUGUGACCCUGCACAAGUUACUUAAUCCCAAUUGACUAGCUCUUACCACUCUUCUGCCUUGGAACACAGAAUUGAUUCUCAAAUGGAAGAUGAGAAAAUGAAGGCCCUAAAAGAUAAAGUGACCGAAUUCCUGAAAAGAGAUCAGGUCAGAUCCUCUCACUACACAUCUGGGUUUCUUUUCCUUCUACCCAUUCAUUGUAUGCCUUUCCUUUG